Long non-coding RNA from Suricata suricatta (meerkat), 206 nucleotides. RefSeq lists it as uncharacterized. NCBI's taxonomy places the organism in Eukaryota, Metazoa, Chordata, Mammalia, Carnivora, Herpestidae. The transcript is spliced from 3 exons. The record is from RefSeq and is a predicted model, not a curated record.
GAACAGGCCCAAGGUCGGCGGCGUGGCGCCCCAGGAAACAGAGAAGUGGCCCCUCCUCUGCCAUUCUCGCAGGGAUGCCGUGAAGACAAAAUGACUGAGAAGCAACCAUUUUCCUCUUAACUGCAAGAUGCUCUCCUGCAGUAGACGCGAUGGUCCCCGUGUUUACACUUGAGGAAAUUGAGGCUCAGAGGAGUCGUCUAACUUAC